AGCUCUCAAGGUGUAUAUCGCCAUUGCUGCGGUUAAAAAGCUCGUAGUUGGAUCUGCGCCUUCGGACUCGGUCCGCCCAACGGGUGUGAACUGGGAUCCAAGGCUUAUACUGCUGGUUUUCCCUAGAUGCUCUUUACUGGGUGUCUAGGGUGGCUAGCGAGUUUACUUUGAAAAAAUUAGAGUGCUCAACACAGGCUAACGCCUGAAUACUCGUGCAUGGAAUAAUAGAAUAAGACCACGGUUCUAUUUUAUUGGUUUUCGGAACUGUGAUAAUGGUUAAGAGGGACAGACGGGGGCAUUCGUAUCGCUGCGUGAGAGGUGAAAUUCUUGGACCGCAGCGAGACGCCCUACUGCGAAAGCAUUUGCCAAGAAUGUCUUCG
Molecule: ribosomal RNA, 380 nt
Filed under: uncultured eukaryote
Lineage: Eukaryota
Description: SSU rRNA
Rfam family: Eukaryotic small subunit ribosomal RNA
Source: RNAcentral